This 253-nucleotide ribosomal RNA is filed under the name uncultured bacterium. Its description in RNAcentral is "partial 16S ribosomal RNA". It matches the Rfam family "Bacterial small subunit ribosomal RNA", at positions 524 to 776 of the family's 1533-position model. The record is from RNAcentral.
UACGGAGGGUGCGAGCGUUGUCCGGAAUCACUGGGUUUAAAGGGUGCGUAGGUGGGCAAGUAAGUCAGUGGUGAAAUCUCCGGGCUUAACCCGGAAACUGCCAUUGAUACUAUUUGUCUUGAAUACUGUGGAGGUCAGCGGAAUAUGUCAUGUAGCGGUGAAAUGCUUAGAUAUGACAUAGAACACCAAUUGCGAAGGCAGCUGGCUACACAAAUAUUGACACUGAGGCACGAAAGCGUGGGGAUCAAACAGG